CCUACGGGAGGCAGCAGUGGGGAAUCUUGCGCAAUGGGCGAAAGCCUGACGCAGCCAUGCCGCGUGAAUGAUGAAGGUCUUAGGAUUGUAAAAUUCUUUCACCGGGGACGAUAAUGACGGUACCCGGAGAAGAAGCCCCGGCUAACUUCGUGCCAGCAGCCGCGGUAAUACGAAGGGGGCUAGCGUUGCUCGGAAUUACUGGGCGUAAAGGGAGCGUAGGCGGAUAGUUUAGUCAGAGGUGAAAGCCCAGGGCUCAACCUUGGAAUUGCCUUUGAUACUGGCUAUCUUGAGUGUGGGAGAGGUAUGUGGAACUCCGAGUGUAGAGGUGAAAUUCGUAGAUAUUCGGAAGAACACCAGUGGCGAAGGCGACAUACUGGCCCAUUACUGACGCUGAGGCUCGAAAGCGUGGGGAGCAAACAGGAUUAGAUACCCUGGUAGUCCACGCUGUAAACGAUGAGUGCUAGUUGUCGGCAGCAUGCUGUCGGUGACGCAGCUACGACAUAAGUACACUCCGCCGUCGGGGUAGGGUACGGGUCCGGCGAAGAAGUUAAAACCGUUAACGUAAAGUUAAGUUAGUAGGUUACGGUUGUAGAGACGCCGACGGACGGACCGACCGACGGGAGGGAGGAGG
Molecule: ribosomal RNA, 631 nt
Filed under: uncultured bacterium
Lineage: Bacteria
Description: bacterial SSU rRNA
Rfam family: Bacterial small subunit ribosomal RNA (bases 1-516)
Source: RNAcentral